This 440-nucleotide ribosomal RNA is filed under the name uncultured bacterium. RNAcentral's name for it is "bacterial SSU rRNA". It matches the Rfam family "Bacterial small subunit ribosomal RNA", at positions 338 to 773 of the family's 1533-position model. The record is from RNAcentral.
CCUACGGGGGGCUGCAGUCGAGAAUCUUCGGCAAUGGGCGCAAGCCUGACCGAGCGACGCCGCGUGUGGGAUGAAGGCCUUCGGGUUGUAAACCACUGUCAGAGGGGAUGAAAUGCAGGUGGGUUCUCCCAUCUGUUUGACAUAGCCUCAGAGGAAGGACGGGCUAAGUUCGUGCCAGCAGCCGCGGUAAGACGAACCGUCCGAACGUUAUUCGGAAUCACUGGGCUUAAAGGGUGCGUAGGCGGCGCGGAAAGUUGGGUGUGAAAUCCCUCGGCUCAACCGAGGAACUGCGCCCAAAACUGCCGUGCUCGAGGGAGAUAGAGGUGAGCGGAACUUAGGGUGGAGCGGUGAAAUGCGUUGAUAUCCUAAGGAACACCGGUGGCGAAAGCGGCUCACUGGAUCUCUUCUGACGCUGAGGCACGAAAGCUAGGGUAGCAAAC